AAAUAACAUCGUGGAAGAGACCUAAAAAACACAGAGAGAGAGCAGGAAGGAGUGGAAACAGGGAAAGAUGCAAGACCACCCCGGGGGAAAUUGCCCUACAUUGUAUGUGCUGACAACACACCAACGCAGAGAUUAACUCUGUGAAGCGCCACUGAAAACAUCCCUCCCCUGCACGUCUCUAUAGGCCAUUAAUCUGAGAUGACAUGCGGGAGACCGGCGAGAGGCAGAAGGCUGUCAGAGCCAGGGCAGCAGGAGAAAAACAGCAUUGAUGCAGGAAGAUAGAGUGUAACUAUGUAGACUCAAUCGUGAACGAGGUAUGUAAGUGUAGUUU
This is a long non-coding RNA of Oreochromis aureus, 331 nucleotides long. RefSeq lists it as uncharacterized. The record is from RefSeq and is a predicted model, not a curated record. NCBI's taxonomy places the organism in Eukaryota, Metazoa, Chordata, Actinopteri, Cichliformes, Cichlidae. The transcript is spliced from 3 exons.